CUUCAGUUCUCCUCCACCCUCCCAGCAGCAGCCAAUCACGGGCCAAAUGAGACGAAACUAUUUAAAGGUUUGAGGCACAAAAGACGUCAGAUUGUUUGAAACUGAAGGGGGAAGCGGGCCGACUGCUGAUUGGAUGUUAUACCACCAUGAGUUUAAGGGACAUGUAGCUGAUUGAAAAACUGCCAUUCAAUGUUUGCCAAGUGCCACUCAGAGAGCGAUUACAAUCUUCAUCCUUCACAACGUUGGACAAGACGUUUAAUAAAAC
Long non-coding RNA from Notolabrus celidotus (New Zealand spotty), 265 nucleotides. RefSeq lists it as uncharacterized. The transcript is spliced from 3 exons. NCBI's taxonomy places the organism in Eukaryota, Metazoa, Chordata, Actinopteri, Labriformes, Labridae. The record is from RefSeq and is a predicted model, not a curated record.